ACAGCAGCAGCCGCGGUAAUACGGAGGGAGCUAGCGUUGUUCGGAAUUACUGGGCGUAAAGCGCGCGUAGGCGGUUACUCAAGUCAGAGGUGAAAGCCCGGGGCUCAACCCCGGAACUGCCUUUGAAACUAGGUGACUAGAAUCUUGGAGAGGUCAGUGGAAUUCCGAGUGUAGAGGUGAAAUUCGUAGAUAUUCGGAAGAACACCAGUGGCGAAGGCGACUGACUGGACAAGUAUUGACGCUGAGGUGCGAAAGCGUGGGGAGCAAACAGGAUUAGAUACCCGAGUAGUCCCUGUCUCUUAUAC
RNAcentral lists this ribosomal RNA (305 nucleotides) under uncultured bacterium. Its description in RNAcentral is "partial 16S ribosomal RNA". It matches the Rfam family "Bacterial small subunit ribosomal RNA", at positions 505 to 807 of the family's 1533-position model. The record is from RNAcentral.